UAUGUUAGUAGUAAUUGAAUGAAAUUGGACCCUUUUCAAUGCUGAUGAGAUCUUGCAGGUUCAUUCACAGGUUCAAGAGAUCUUGCAGUUUGAGAGAGAGAGAGAGAGAGAGAGAGAGAGAGAGAGAGAGAGAGAGAGGAGGGAGAAGAUAAGGAUGGGCAGAAAGGGGAGGCAGUGCGGUAGUAUUGGGUUGGGUUGGGAGGUGGAUUCUUUCGUCUUCUACGUUCUAAUAGGAGUAUCACAAGCUGAAGUGGUAGUACAAUACUUUUUAUAGUUUCUCCCCACCGUUAGUCAAACGAUUAAUAAAACUACUAAAUUUUGACGUGGCAAAUGUAGGCCUCAAUUUUAUGCUGACAGGGAGCCUACACACAAGCUAUAAAUUAACCCUCAGCUCCAAUGACCCAUCCCCUCUGGGAUGAGCUGC
RNAcentral lists this long non-coding RNA (424 nucleotides) under Prunus persica (peach). RNAcentral describes it as "long non-coding RNA (PPER_LNC005736)". The record is from RNAcentral. Lineage: Eukaryota; Viridiplantae; Streptophyta; Magnoliopsida; Rosales; Rosaceae.